CGCUCUGACACCAUUCACUCUAAAGUUCCACACAGUCAAGGACCUGUGCAGACUGCUGCAGCACAAGCUCUGGAUAGCACAACCCCGGACAACUUUCUCCCUUGUGAUUUUCUGAGGGGAUCUGCUUGUUUGGAUUAUAUUCAUUUAGCACUAUUAAAUACUAACAUAGAGAAUUAGUCGUGCGUGUUAGUUUUGUCUAACAUUUUUUUUUCCCAAAGAAAAAGUGCAGCGUUUCUUUUCUGACAUAGCCUUAAACAGGAUAUUUAAUUCUGUAUACAUAUAUGUAUGUAUAAAUAUAUAUAUUAUGCUUUUUUAGAAGGUUAAGGACAAGUGCAAUGCGCGUCAGAUUCGUCUCUUGGGAUUGUCUCAGUUGCGCUUGAGGAACUAUGUCGAGUUGAAGCACAGGGUUUAUUCAAGAGGACGCAGUCCAAUGUGAACAGCAAGAACCAGCCUUCUCGAGCUUUCACACUUCCAAGCAAGUGCACCACGGCGUCUGACCGAGCCCGCUGAGCUGCGCUGACAUUACGGUGUGUCUCUCCCCGAGGGGAUGGUUGUGGAUCCUCUGGGGCCAGGAGCGACUGUGAGGCUCCUACAGAAUAGCACCUUUUUCGCGUUUGGGGUCAAUUCUAAAUUAAAGGGAAAUGAGAUCCGCACCUCGCUACUUCCUGCUGUGGACGACGUACCUGCUGCUGGCCACCGCUGAGGUGAAGUUCUCGGGACACCGCACGGGCAAAGAGGAAGUGGAGUUUCCACAGGAGCUGAUAGACCGCCUGUCCCACAGUGAAAUCCACAGCAUCAGCGACCUCCAGCGGCUACUGGAGAUUGACUCCGUAGGUGCGGGAAACGAUGUCAUUGAGGAGCACAAGUACCACAAGCACCACAGCCACCACAAGAACAGCUCUCGUCAUCCGGGUUACUACAAUGACCUGAAGAGUUCCCAGCUGCACAGCCGGCGCAAGAGGAGCAUUGUAGAGGAGGCAGUCCCGGCAGUGUGCAAGACACGGACGGUGAUCUACGAGAUCCCCAGGAGUCAGGUGGAUCCCACGUCUGCCAACUUCCUGAUAUGGCCGCCCUGUGUGGAGGUGAAGCGCUGCACGGGCUGCUGCAACACCAGCAACAUGCGCUGCCACCCGUCCCGCAAGCACCACCGCACUGUUAAGGUAGCCAAGGUGGAGUACGUGAGGAGGAGACCCAAGCUGAAAGAGGUCUUUGUGCGGUUAGAAGACCACCUGGAGUGUGUGUGCUCAUCGCAGCAUCAUGCGGCGGAGCACUCGGACGCAGAAACAGGCCACCGUAGGGCUAAAGGUAAAAAAAGGAAACGUAGAAAGCAAAGGCCCAGCAAGGACUUAUUGGUGACAUAAUAAAGUUACUCACAUUACCCAAAGUCCACUGGAGAGCUGUGAAGGGAACAGUGGAUGUGAGGUGAGACCAAUCGGAACACGGGACGUCACAGCGGGAAGGACCUAAACAGAGGAUGCUACCAACAGGACACCUGCUUGGUCCCCUUCCCCACCGCCAUGCAUCCUUCAUUUAAUUUUUUUUUUUUUUUUUUUUUGUCCUGUGAAGUCAGGAGACUGAAAAAUAGACAAAAGACUAAAUUUAAAUAUGAUGCCAAAGGUGCUUUUUUAGAAAAAAAGGAAAAAAAAAAGAAAAGAAAAGAAAGAAAAACAAUAACCCGUGAUCAUGACUUCCUCUGUGGCGUGCCGCCUGCCCAGACAACUGAACUGUGCCGCUGAUCGACGAGCAAGGAGAAGACGCUGCGGAAAGGUUGGGCCGGGGCGGAGAGGAGCCGAAGGGAGGUGACGAAAGGGAUUUGUGUUGAACGUUUUGAGAGACACUGCUUGAGCUGAACACAGAACUGAAACCGCUACCAUCGGAUCACGGACUCAGGAAGUAUCCUGCCCCAUUUAAAUGACUCUUGAAUACACAGGAAGAAAGAAAGAGAAAGGAAAACCAAUGGAGAGAAAAAAUUGAUUUAAAGUGUUUUUGUUUUUUUUUAUCAAAAGACUCUAUUUGGAGCGUCAAACAUUUCGAGUUAUUAGAUGUUUGCUCUGAGCAAAUAGUAAACCUUCUCCGAGACCCCUGGUUGUCUGGGCACUUUGCCCAUGUGCUAUGUACAGUUAUAUCUGAAAAAGGAAGAUGCGCCGCUACUUACAAACUAUUUAUAUGUGUGGACGUUUGCUUUCUGUCUCUUCAAACACACGAGAAAGAACAAAACAUGUGUUGUUGUUGUUUUUUUGUUUUUUUUUUCUAUGAAUUCUCACACAUGCAAGCGUUCGGAGUGGUCCGGUUCUUUGUAACCAUCAGUAUCACAAUCUCAAUGUCUUCUUUUUUUUUUUUUUUUUUUGUUUCUUAGUUGUUGUUUUUCUUGUCAGCCAUGUUUCUUAUUAUAUUACAGUAUAUCUGAUUGAUGUCAAGUCUUGUAUAUGGUUUGGAUAUAUGUGUGCAAGGAGGAGAUGUGAGAGUCGGUGCAGGAAGAUGCUUUAUUUUUGUUAUGAAAUAUAUUAUGCGUACCUAUAUCUAAGCAGGAAUUAUGUUUAUUUGUUGUUGUGGUGGAGUGCCUGUAUUUAAUCCAGAGGAGGGGGGAAAAAAAUGCAAAAAUAUGGACAGGAGGGUGGAAUAGACAAGGAAAAAAAAACACUUCCAGUGCUAUAAGCCUGUGUUUAGCCAGUGGGUUAAAGCUGAGAGAACGGUGGAAGAUUAGAAGGAUGAAAUGUCAACUUCAUAAUGAGUUGUAGCAUUUAGCUAAUAUUUGGCAUAUUUUUGUAAAAGUUCACACCAACACGCAUGCAGCACGUAGGAGUGUGUUAAUUCCAAAUCACGUAAGGACACAAAAACGCAACUGUAGUGCACAAUCAUGCCUGAACAGGGAGGGGCUAGACAGGUUGUGUGUUUCCCCACACACAAUUCCUUCGAUACAGGAGGCUAUUUUUCACCCCUGUCACUCCGCCGUUGAUAAGGAAGAUCCCCGCCCGGUCUGCUUCACAAGCGCACAUGUUGUGCCCACAAAGAGCAAAGUCCACUUCAAAGCGAACGAGUGAGCAAAGCAAAUCGACAAGCGCAUGAAUGGGCUCCUUGUUUCGCCGGGCUCUACUCCUACGUUGACAGGAGAACAAAUGUCCGAUUCGCUCCGCCCCGUGCGGUCACUCGCGGCGAGCACCCCGGGGUUCGCCUGAAAGCGGCGCGGCGCCGGGCCUGAACCUGCGCCGCCACGACGGAGCAAACCUUCCACGAAAGAAACGUGCCCCCGGGGCCAACGUGGUCGAGAGAAAACAAAACAAAAAAGUCAUUUCUGUUAAAAAGAGGAUGUUUUUCUAGACAAAAGCACAAGAGUGAGUCACUGUUCAAUGUGAAGUGAAUCAAGUGAAAGUCAAACAGGAAAUGUUUGGCUGAAACGUGGCUGUGUCGCCUACUGCCGAGCUGUGGGCACGUCACGCUACGCACCCGCGGCUCGCUCGUGAAUGAACCUGGAAGCUGACUGGUGCUACGUUCGCAAGGCUGACGCUUCGACACUGUUCACAUCUAUGUCAAUGUAAGAUAGUGCUCUCAGUAAAUCAGGGACCACGCUUAGAGCUGUUUAACUGCCAUACAAAAUAGUGCCAUCAUGCUAUCUAUCACAAGCCUUUAUUAGUUUUCCUUUUUUUCUUUUUCUUUUCCAGUGGAUAAGACAGCAAUAAUCAUAAUUUAUAUAUUUAUGUUUUCAACAAUAAAUAUAUUUCUGCUUA
Molecule: RNA transcript, 3725 nt
Organism: Mugil cephalus (flathead mullet)
Lineage: Eukaryota; Metazoa; Chordata; Actinopteri; Mugiliformes; Mugilidae
Gene: pdgfab
Gene name: platelet-derived growth factor alpha polypeptide b
Exons: 7
Source: RefSeq, a predicted model, not a curated record